UCCCAGGCAGACAACAUAAAUGGUUUAUUCG
RNAcentral lists this non-coding RNA (31 nucleotides) under Mus musculus (house mouse). The record is from RNAcentral. Lineage: Eukaryota; Metazoa; Chordata; Mammalia; Rodentia; Muridae.